Molecule: long non-coding RNA, 840 nt
Organism: Theobroma umbraticum
Lineage: Eukaryota; Viridiplantae; Streptophyta; Magnoliopsida; Malvales; Malvaceae
Source: RefSeq, a predicted model, not a curated record
GGCUUUUAUAACUGCAUUCAGAUCCAUUUAUUAAUUUAUUUAUGUGUUGAUUUGUUUAAUUAUUCCUUCUAGGGAAGUGGAGGACUUUGCUAGGAGGUUGAAUUCUGAUUGGCCAGAAAGGAUGCAAGAAAUUUUAUCAUUAGGCCAUGAAAGACGACUUGUACCGAUGUCAAUAAAUGGCGAAGGUCCCAUGAGUAGAUUUACAAAAUGGACAGCUGCUUGAGUGGUUUAAAGAUGAACAUAGCAACCAAUUCGCUGCUGUAAGAUUCUCAGCUUUGUGCUCGGUUUGAUCUGCAUGUGAGUGUAUUUAUUUGUUUUACCAUCGCCAACAUAUGUCUUUGUUCAUAGCAUGUAUGUUGGAUAUUGUUCUUCCCGUUCUUCUUAUUCAUUUUCUGAAAAAAAAAAAAAGACAGUCGCAAAUUUUGAGAAUCUGUCAGUAUGUUCCGGUGAGUCAGUCCCUUGCUUGUAGCUUUCACCCGUUGUUAUUGGCAUAUUACGUACCACUCCCAAAUAAUACAGUGUCAAUACCACAAUUUUCCUCUUCCCUCUGGUGGAUAGUAUUUUGUUCAUAGCAUGGAGCUCUAUGGUAUUGUUCCUGCAGGCCCCUCAUUUGAGAUUUAAUGCUGUAAUGUGCUCUGUGAUGAAACAGUUCAGGAAUUUAACAUCCAAGAUGUAGGAUUUGGAACUUUGUAAUUUAGUUAUUUGAACUUCUAAUCAAGCUGUAAUAGAAUUUCAGCUGUACAGCCAGCCUGAAUGCUGUGAGGAAGCAAGAUUAAGCUUUAUGCGAUGUAAUUUUCUGGGUGUCAAAGUCCAAUAUAUAUCUUUGCUUAGUGAUUUAAA